This 416-nucleotide ribosomal RNA is filed under the name uncultured bacterium. Its description in RNAcentral is "partial 16S ribosomal RNA". It matches the Rfam family "Bacterial small subunit ribosomal RNA", at positions 355 to 759 of the family's 1533-position model. The record is from RNAcentral.
UGGGGAAUUUUGGAUCAAUGGGCGAAAGCCUGAUCCAGCAAUGCCGCGUGUGUGAAGAAGGCCUUCGGGUUGUAAAGCACUUUUGUCCGGAAAGAAAUCCUUGGCUCUAAUACAGUCGGGGGAUGGACGGGUACCGGAAGAAUAAGCACCGGCUAACUACGUGCCAGCAGCCGCGGUAAUACGUAGGGUGCAAGCGUUAAUCGGAAUUACUGGGCGUAAAGCGUGCGCAGGCGGUUUGCUAAGACCGAUGUGAAAUCCCCGGGCGUCAACCUGGGAACUGGAUUGGUGACUGGCAGGCUAGAGUAUGGCAGAGGGGGUGAGAAUUCCACGUGUAGCAGUGAAAUGCGUAGAGAUGUGGAGGAAUACCGAUGGCGAAGGCAGCCCCCUGGCAAGUCACUGACGCUCAUGCACGAAAG